ACGAACGCUGGCGGCGCGCUUAACACAUGCAAGUCGAACGGAAAGGCCUGCUUUCCCUUGUGGAUUGCGGGUACUCGAGUGGCGAACGGGUGAGUAACACGUGAGUGAUCUGCCCCCAACUUGGGUAUAAGCCUGGGAAACUGGGUCUAAUUCCCGAUAGGACUGCAGGGUGGUGCCUGUGGUGGAAAACGAUUUUCUAGUGGUUGGGGAUGAGCUCGCGGCCUAUCAGCUUGUUGGUGGGGUAAUGGCCUACCAAGGCGGCGACGGGUAGCCGGCCUGAGAGGGUGGACGGCCGCAUUGGGACUGAGAUACGGCCCAGACUCCUACGGGAGGCAGCAGUGGGGAAUAUUGCACCAUGGGCGGAAGCCUGAUGCAGCGACGCCGCGUGGGGGAUGACGGCCUUCGGGUUGUAAACUCCUUUCGACCGCGAGGAAGCCACCUGGUUGGAAGGGUGGUGACGGUAGUGGUAGAAGAAGCACCGGCUAACUACGUG
RNAcentral lists this ribosomal RNA (493 nucleotides) under uncultured bacterium. RNAcentral describes it as "partial 16S ribosomal RNA". It matches the Rfam family "Bacterial small subunit ribosomal RNA", at positions 29 to 507 of the family's 1533-position model. The record is from RNAcentral.